RNAcentral lists this ribosomal RNA (350 nucleotides) under Halomonas sp. M15-C10. RNAcentral describes it as "bacterial SSU rRNA". It matches the Rfam family "Bacterial small subunit ribosomal RNA", at positions 1 to 355 of the family's 1533-position model. The record is from RNAcentral. Lineage: Bacteria; Pseudomonadati; Pseudomonadota; Gammaproteobacteria; Oceanospirillales; Halomonadaceae.
UWGAGUUUGAUCAUGGCUCAGAUUGAACGCUGGCGGCAGGCCUAACACAUGCAAGUCGAGCGGAAACGAUGGAAGCUUGCUUCCAGGCGUCGAGCGGCGGACGGGUGAGUAAUGCAUGGGAAUCUGCCCGAUAGUGGGGGAUAACCUGGGGAAACCCAGGCUAAUACCGCAUACGUCCUACGGGAGAAAGCAGGGGAUCUUCGGACCUUGCGCUAUCGGAUGAGCCCAUGUCGGAUUAGCUUGUUGGUGAGGUAAUGGCUCACCAAGGCGACGAUCCGUAGCUGGUCUGAGAGGAUGAUCAGCCACAUCGGGACUGAGACACGGCCCGAACUCCUACGGGAGGCAGCAGU